ACAACCGACACAUGCGUAACUUGUACUCCUCCCAAGACCCAUGCAUUAGUGUCAGUUUUUUAAAUCAUCUUUUACCUACCCGAUAUGCAAGCAUGUUCCUUGUUGCUUAAACACAAAGAUGUGUUUAUGUCUUUCUUCGAAGAUGCUCAUGCAUUGUAGGUUAUGUGCAACAAUGUGAAUUCCAAUAAAGUACAGUUGAAAGUCCAGCAUCCGUCCGUGUGUAACGCCUUUUCCUUGUGUGCAUGUCCUUUGUGUUUCAACGGUGCCCCCCUUUUUCAGGCUCACAAUGUGCGUAUAGAGGAGCCUCAGCGCAAAAUUUGUAGUUUGAAGUACGAAUGAAAGCAUUACAAAAAGGCUAUAGCAAAUAGCUGUUUUUAAUACCGAAGCUGGAAAGAGAAUGCUGCCAUUACUGCUCACCGGAAGUGACACAUAAAUAGAGAGCAUGCAGCUCCUUGGCAUGAUUGCCCAAAUAACGUGGCUGCCUGGGGUGUGUUGUUGAAAAAUCAUAGAGGCGGUGCACUGGAAUUUAUGUAGUUGUGACGAACACCAUGUGCACGAGCAAUCUGCUUAGGUGCUGUUUAAAGGCUGCUAACAAGAAAACUAUACAUUACCAGCCCUGUGACUGCCAAGAUGGCAUACACUACUUGUAUGUAACAAAUUUAGCCAAAGCGAUAUUCCAUUGCAGUUGGCCUUUAAGCAGGGCUACUUACUCUGUCCAGAUCGGUACACUGUUACCCUGUAAGUUUGGUUUCUCCAAAUAAACAAGUGCUGUUCAUAGAUCACAGAGUGACAAUUGUGUCUGCAAAAUAUCUCUGUAUGCUGUUAAAACAGACUCAAUUUCAAGUAGAAGCAUGUGUGCCCUUAUUUUGGGAGUAGCAGUCUCCUUGUCAGAAAAAAUAAUGACAUCACGGGUUCCACGGGCAACUUCGGAGGUACGGACACAGUGUCACUGGCGCAAAUAGCCACCAGCAAUGCGAAUGCAGGCAAUCUUCUCUAUAGCGAAUGUGGAUGUAAUGAAUUUCACACAUAACAAAGUAAAUUUAAAAUGCUUCUCGUUCGUGUGAAUGAGGGUGGCAAUGUGGGCUUGCUGGUCAGUCAUACUGAAAUGAGACAGUGUUGCACAUAGACACAAUAAGGAAUGACACACGAACGUGAUUUGGUCCCAUGGUUUUCCUGCAUCCCACUGCAAAACUGCUCCUUUCGGUUCAAAGAAAUGCUGUGCUCCGUUUCACACAUGGCAAGCAUUGCUACGAUGGCUUGAGUGACUUCUCUCACUGCUAGCAUCCGCAACCAAAAAAAAACUUGUGCCUCACGUAUGAAAAAGGUAUUACCGUAUUUACUCGAAUCUAAUGUGCACUUCUUUUCUGAUAAAACGGGUCCGAAAAUUGAGUGAGCAUUCGAAUAGAGUACGACUGUAAAUCUGCAUUACCAUAUCGCCAUCAGCAUUUCAAAAUGGCCGCCUCAUACACACUUCGAGUCUAGUUGCCGUAGCUUUCUCCGUGUGCUGUAUGUAGUAUGUGUGCUUAGGCGAUGCUUCCUUUGGCGUAGGUUAGUCCACCGCCUGUCUUCCCGUUUUCCGCGUUUGCUCUAUCAGCAUGGAAGUGCCGAUUGCAAAGACAUGCUGAGUUCAUCACAAUGCCACAAGUAAAAGGAAAGCGAUCACGUGUGCGGAGACAGACAGAAAUUGGGCCGCAUCACAGGCGUUCGGAGUUCUCUAAACUUGCGUGCGGGACUGGCGCAAACAGGAGAGGCAUUCUACACCAGCGGCUGCUACGUAUGGCGCGGCCGCAUGGCUCCUAUCUUGAAAGCCAUCUGUAAUGGAGACAAGAGUCUACGCAUCUAGGCGCACCGCGCUGUGUUCUCAUCGCUUAGUUUGCUUCGAAGUGAGAGGCCGCACAAAGGUCAAUUCCCUCACUCCUGCUACUGCACUUCCUCACUCCAGCAUUUAAACAGUUUCCGCGGUUAUUGAGUGAGACAUGUUCAUGUUUGCUUGUGCGCGCGUGACACCAUGCUUGUUAAUUUAAUUAGUAAGCAAAUGUUUAAAAGUUUAUACAGCCGAUAAAGAUGUGAUCCUUACUUUUCGUAUAGCUGUCUACUAAUUUGCUAUUGUAAUCGAUGCUUUGCCUUUCGGGCAAAACUGUGACUUUUUUUAUUUAUUGCAACUUUAGUGCAUUGGGAGUAAAUCUUGUUUUUUCCAAAUGAGAGAAAGUUGUAUUUUUGUAUGAAAGAAUGAGGUGUGCAGUACUGUAGAGGACUUUUCUUUCUUUUUAGGUCAUGGCAAACAGGUGUGUGUUACAAUCGAAGGCAUUUCCCCCCCCUUUUGGGGGGUCACGGAAAACGGGUGCGCGUUACAAUCGAGGGCUCAUUAGAAUCAAGUAAAUAUGGUAGGUACGCACCAUGUAAUUCGAUGUUACUCUGUGGCUCGUACUUUUAUGUAGCAAAAUAUGAUGUGUUUAUUACAUUAAAGGCGUAGGCGAUCUAUUAAAUCUAUGUACCACCAAACGAGUGGGGUAUCAUGUUACCUACUGAAAGCACAGAUAUUCACAAGCAAUGUGUGAUUUGAUGUAAGGUUGCAUCCACAAGUAGCACUUGUAAUGUAUGACGUAGUUAUUUCGUAGAAAACAAUGCAGAUCAAGAACUGCACUUCAAAGUGUGUGGAGUGAGACAUCUAUGGCCACACUAAUUGCGUAGUUUCCACAGUGUCACCUGCUGUAUCUUUGAAAUGGAGUAGAGUCAAUGUAAAAGCAAACUCUGAGUUGAUAAGCUUAAUCAUCGAAGCACAGCAUAUAUCUACUCUUUCACUGACCAAUGCAUCAGAAAAGGUUUCAUAUCAUUGCCAGUUAAGGGACUUGAAUACCUAUGCAUGUCAGGAUAAGUAUAUGUCAUAUGAGAUGUGUCGCAGCAGCUUGCGAUUUUCUCCAGUUUUAUAAAUUUCUAGAAAUGUUUUUCUUUUUCUCUUUUGCGUUUGGUACCUUUACUCGAAAUGUCUGUUGACAUGUGGUUUGUGAGACACGUGACUGGGGGUAAGUACAGCUGGUCGAGAAAUAAAUAUUUCAUUGCUGAAAGUAA
Molecule: long non-coding RNA, 3069 nt
Filed under: Dermacentor andersoni
Lineage: Eukaryota; Metazoa; Arthropoda; Arachnida; Ixodida; Ixodidae
Description: uncharacterized LOC126517931
Source: RNAcentral